ACGAACGCUGGCGGCGUGCUUCACACCUGCAAGUCGCACGGAAAGGCCCUGCUUUUGUGGGGUGCUCGAGUGGCGAACGGGUGAGUAACACGUGAGUAACCUGCCCUUGACUUUGGGAUAACUUCAGGAAACUGGGGCUAAUACCGGAUAGGAGCUCCUGCUGCAUGGUGGGGGUUGGAAAGUUUCGGCGGUUGGGGAUGGACUCGCGGCUUAUCAGCUUGUUGGUGGGGUAGUGGCUUACCAAGGCUUUGACGGGUAGCCGGCCUGAGAGGGUGACCGGCCACAUUGGUACUGAGAUACGGCCCAGACUCCUACGGGAGGCAGCAGUGGGGAAUAUUGCACAAUGGGCGGAAGCCUGAUGCAGCAACGCCGCGUGCGGGAUGACGGCCUUCGGGUUGUAAACCGCUUUCGCCUGUGACGAAGCGUGAGUGACGGUAAUGGGUAAAGAAGCACCGGCUAACUACGUG
Molecule: ribosomal RNA, 467 nt
Filed under: uncultured bacterium
Lineage: Bacteria
Description: partial 16S ribosomal RNA
Rfam family: Bacterial small subunit ribosomal RNA
Source: RNAcentral